This 655-nucleotide long non-coding RNA is filed under the name Citrus x clementina. Its description in RNAcentral is "Citrus clementina (C. clementina) long non-coding RNA (CCLE_LNC006024)". Lineage: Eukaryota; Viridiplantae; Streptophyta; Magnoliopsida; Sapindales; Rutaceae. The record is from RNAcentral.
AGUCCUGUCCCCAAGUUCGUCCGCCGCAAAAAUGCCCAAAAAAAGGUGGGCUAUAGCCUUGGGGGGAGGGCUGGCCAAGUUUGUUCGCCGGACUCGGAAUGGGGCCAGACUUUACGAGGCGCCUCCGUGUGCCAAAAAUAGGCCGCGGGCACUGCCGCUCCCAAAAAUAAGCCCCCGAAGUUCCCGUCCCUAAGUUCGACCGCCGCAAAAAUGCCCAAAAAACGGGUGGGCUAUAGCCUUGGGGGGAGGGGCUGCCCAAGUUCGUCCGCCGGACUGGGAAUGGGGCCAGACUUUGCGAGGGGCCUCCGUGUGCCAAAAUUAGGCCGCGGGCACUGCCGCGCCCAAAAAUAAGUGCCCGAAUGUCCCAUCCCCAAGUUCGUCCGCCGCAAAAAUGCCCAAAAAACGGGUGGGCUAUAGCCUUGGGGGGAGGGGCUGGCUGAGUUCGUCCGCCGGACUAGGAAUGGGGCCAGACUUUGCGAGGGGCCUCCGUGUGCCAAAAAUAGGGCGCGGGCACUGCCGCGCCCGAAAAUAAGCGCCCCAAGGUCCCGUCCCCAAGUUCGUCCGCCGCAAAAAUGCCCAAAAAACGGGUGGGCUAUAGCCUUGGGGGGAGGGGCUGGCCAAGUUAGUCCGCCGGACUCGGAAUGGGGCCAGACUU